This 1378-nucleotide long non-coding RNA is filed under the name Apteryx rowi (Okarito brown kiwi). RNAcentral describes it as "lncRNA (ENSARWG00000004131.1)". The record is from RNAcentral. Lineage: Eukaryota; Metazoa; Chordata; Aves; Apterygiformes; Apterygidae.
GCGGGCCCUCGGCGCCGUCAGUCAGGGAGGCGCCGCCUCUUCCGGGCCUUUCCGGCUGGGCCGCCGCCUCCUCCUCUCUCGCUCGCUCUCUCCCUUUUGUGAGUUAUAGCAACCGUUGCCUUGUGAAUCAAGCGCCAUAGUCACCGUAGUCCUGGCGACUGUUACCCAUCAACAACAACCGCUCCUCUCCUGCUCCUCCUCCUCCUCCUGCUGCUCCUCACCCCCAUCCUCACCCCCUUCCUCAUCAUCACCCACAACAACAACAACAACAACAACAGCCACCAGCAGCAACAACAACAGCAGGAACACCACCACAGUCCUCCACAGCCCAGGUGAAUAUGCUCGUUGGGCGCCCGCCUGCCCUCCCUCCUCUCUCCCUCCCCCCCAACCUCUGCCUCCCCCCCUCCUGGCAGCAUCCGGGCUGGGGCUGCUCCACUGGGCUGCACCAUUGAUCGAGGUGUAGCGAGAGGAGCGCGGGUCUCCCUGCCGGCUGCUUGCUUGCACCCCCCUCUGCUUCCCUCCUCUGCUCUGCUGCCUCCCCCCUCGCCGGCCUGCGCUGUCUGCGGGCGCACUCUGCGGCUGGGCGGCAGAGCGGGGAUGGGGGUGUCCGCUGGGCGGGGAGGGGGCCUUGCGGCCGUGCGGAGCGGAGAGCGAGCCGGGUUUGGCCAUGGCAGGGGCAGCGGCGCGCUUCUGGGGUCUCCAGGACGAUCGCGUGGAUGCGAUAGAUAUCAGUUCUGCGCCAUGCCCUACUUGAGCAGCCCUAUUACCGCAGGACAGAGUCCUAUUCAGGAUGGAAUUCCUUCUGGGUAUUGAGAUCUGUCUUUGAAGAACAUGCAUCCAGACCCCUGUGAGCAAAGAAAAUUGCACAGGCUGUGAGACAAACCUUCUGUUUGCCUCUUUGAGGAGGAGUAUGGAUGUUUCUUAAAAAUUCUAAUUAGAAGUACAUAGUCUUGUUUAAAAAACAAAGACUUUUUAGUAUUAUUUAGCUAUAUUUGCUUAAGGCAGUGGCAACAUUUUGGAAAAUAAUGAUAUAGCCAUAUCACCUCUGUUUAUUGACACUUAUUCUCUGCAAUAUUUUACUGAUCAUAGACAAGAUCUGCCUUUUGCAUUCUGAUUCCCUAAAGCCCUUAGCUAUCAGAAUAGUAGAUGUUUGUGAUGCUAACCAGUCUCUUGAAAAUAAGUGGCUUUGUGAUUUUUAUUUGGUUGUUUUCAUGGUUUGGACUGUGUAGCUAAAUAACUAUGUUUCAACAUAUCCUAAUGAUCCUUUCUGGAUUGUAUGCUGCAUUGUGCUUUUAAUCAGCUAACUUACGUUGCGCUAGUGUGGAGAGAUCUUUUCAGUGAUGGAGUGAAAAUAAAUGAACUGGGAAUCAAAGGUACA